Molecule: ribosomal RNA, 633 nt
Filed under: Geodermatophilaceae bacterium Ri1Pw_5488
Lineage: Bacteria; Bacillati; Actinomycetota; Actinomycetes; Geodermatophilales; Geodermatophilaceae
Description: bacterial SSU rRNA
Rfam family: Bacterial small subunit ribosomal RNA
Source: RNAcentral
CCUGACGCAGCGACGCCGCGUGAGGGAUGACGGCCUUCGGGUUGUAAACCUCUUUCAGUAGGGACGAAGCGCAAGUGACGGUACCUACAGAAGAAGCACCGGCCAACUACGUGCCAGCAGCCGCGGUAAUACGUAGGGUGCAAGCGUUGUCCGGAAUUAUUGGGCGUAAAGAGCUCGUAGGCGGUCUGUCGCGUCGGCUGUGAAAACCCGAGGCUCAACCUCGGGCCUGCAGUCGAUACGGGCAAACUAGAGUACUGCAGGGGAGACUGGAAUUCCUGGUGUAGCGGUGAAAUGCGCAGAUAUCAGGAGGAACACCGGUGGCGAAGGCGGGUCUCUGGGCAGUAACUGACGCUGAGGAGCGAAAGCGUGGGGAGCGAACAGGAUUAGAUACCCUGGUAGUCCACGCCGUAAACGUUGGGCGCUAGAUGUGGGGCUCAUUCCACGAGUUCCGUGUCGCAGCUAACGCAUUAAGCGCCCCGCCUGGGGAGUACGGCCGCAAGGCUAAAACUCAAAGGAAUUGACGGGGGCCCGCACAAGCGGCGGAGCAUGUUGCUUAAUUCGAUGCAACGCGAAGAACCUUACCUAGGCUUGACAUGCACGGAAAUCUCCCAGAGAUGGGAGGUCCUUUAAAGG